This 1263-nucleotide long non-coding RNA is filed under the name Helianthus annuus (common sunflower). RNAcentral's name for it is "hypothetical non coding rna". Lineage: Eukaryota; Viridiplantae; Streptophyta; Magnoliopsida; Asterales; Asteraceae. The record is from RNAcentral.
AAACCAUACGCAACAGAGAGGGAGAAAGAAAGAUGGAGAACGAGAAGCAGGAAAGCAUCAUCACCGUCGUCAUCACAGACCUUUCACCGCCAUCUAGACGCGUCAUCAUUGUUGGCAGUUUUUGCUCAUCUUAUCCAUACUCUUAACGCCGGGUUUCGGAGGGGACCCAUGACGAAAAAUCGGUGUUUAUGUGAUGUUGAUUUUGUGAUUGUUCGGUUCUUUGGCUUUGAUAUUUGGGGUUUUGGAGUGUCACUGAAGGUCAUGGCUUCUCCCCGACUGCUCAUGUUAUUCAUUUUUUCCCUUGGUUAGGCUGCUAUACUACAAGUUCUUAGGCUUUGCAUUUUGGUACAGGUGUUUUAGUUUCGUUACCCGAGGCUACUUCAAUAUAUAUGCUUUCAUUCUUAUAGUCUUUGUUUCCAGCUUAGUUUGAUGAAUAUAUAUAAGUUUGGGUUUUUAUGAGUUUGCUGCCCAAGUGAGAUCAGUGCUUAAACACUGCCCAACUCUUCAAUUAUCUCAAGCAAGAAAAGUUACAUUUGUCUUUGCACAUAAUAAUGCAAAUCACAUAAUUGUUUUAUAAAUCUGAUCUCAUUUCGCUUUACCACCGCCAGAGAAUGGGUGAGAGACAAAAGGUGACGGUUGUUGAUGUCGGUGUGAAAGGGGUGGUGAGGUGGGGUUGAUCGGAGGAGACGAUGGCGGAGAGGAAGGAGUGGAGGACCUUUCGUCGCUCAUUAACCUAAUCUGCUGAACUGGGGUAAAGUUGAACUCGCGGUUGACCAAAAAGAAGCAGCAAACAUCGAAGAAGCAAUCACCUCAUACCCACUGGCUACUGACGGUCUACCCAAUGCCGUUUGUAAGUCCGUCUACUGCAGUUGUGACCGGCUGAUCGCGAACUGGCUACGUCACCAGGAAAUGAGCUGCUGCGGGACCGCUAUGUAAAGACCGAGCUUUUCACCGCCGAGCUCAUGGUAUUGGUCAAACCAUUUACUAGGCGUGAAGAUCAAAAAACCAACUCGCUGACUGACUAACCAAGCUCGGUCAUAGCAUACGGAAGACGGAGCACACCGGCUCCAACCAUGGCGUGACAUUGUAGAAGGCGGAGCACCACCAUGUGGCAUUGCGUGAUGAGGUGACUAGAAGCCAUUUGUCACUGGCUCGCUUCCGUUCGGUUUUGUUGUCAACCUGUCACAAUCAUAAUUUUUUUAAUAAGGUCUUUAGAGGAACAAAAUUGUGAGUGUACCAUAAGUCAAUAAUAAUAGUCAUAAU